Molecule: ribosomal RNA, 356 nt
Filed under: uncultured bacterium
Lineage: Bacteria
Description: bacterial SSU rRNA
Rfam family: Bacterial small subunit ribosomal RNA
Source: RNAcentral
GUAGGGUGCGAGCGUUGUCCGGAAUUACUGGGCGUAAAGAGCUCGUAGGUGGUUUGUCGCGUUGUUCGUGAAAACUCACAACUCAACUGUGGGCGUGCGGGCGAUACGGGCAGACUAGAGUACUGCAGGGGAGACUGGAAUUCCUGGUGUAGCGGUGGAAUGCGCAGAUAUCAGGAGGAACACCGGUGGCGAAGGCGGGUCUCUGGGCAGUAACUGACGCUGAGGAGCGAAAGCGUGGGGAGCGAACAGGAUUAGAUACCCUGGUAGUCCACGCCGUAAACGGUGGGUACUAGGUGUGGGUUCCUUCCUUGGGAUCCGUGCCGUAGCUAACGCAUUAAGCGCCCCGCCUGGGGAGU